UCUCCGUAGGUGAACCUGCAGAGGGAUCAUUACAAGUGACCCCGGUCUUACCACCGGGAUGUUCAUAACCCUUUGUUGUCCGACUCUGUUGCCUCCGGGGCGACCCUGCCUUCGGGCGGGGGCUCCGGGUGGACACUUCAAACUCUUGCGUAACUUUGCAGUCUGAGUAAACUUAAUUAAUAAAUUAAAACUUUUAACAACGGAUCUCUUGGUUCUG
Molecule: unclassified non-coding RNA, 217 nt
Filed under: plant metagenome
Description: partial contains small subunit ribosomal RNA, internal transcribed spacer 1, and 5.8S ribosomal RNA
Source: RNAcentral